Molecule: ribosomal RNA, 211 nt
Filed under: uncultured bacterium
Lineage: Bacteria
Description: partial 16S ribosomal RNA
Rfam family: Bacterial small subunit ribosomal RNA
Source: RNAcentral
AGUUCGGAUUGUAGUCUGCAACCCGACUACAUGAAGCUGGAAUCGCUAGUAAUCGCAGAUCAGAAUGCUGCGGUGAAUACGUUCCCGGGUCUUGUACACACCGCCCGUCACACCAUGGGAGUUGGAAAUGCCCGAAGCCAGUGACCCAACCGUAAGGAGGGAGCUGUCGAAGGUGGAGCCGAUGACUGGGGUGAAGUCGUAACAAGGUAAC